This 749-nucleotide ribosomal RNA is filed under the name Bacillus altitudinis. Its description in RNAcentral is "bacterial SSU rRNA". It matches the Rfam family "Bacterial small subunit ribosomal RNA", at positions 52 to 784 of the family's 1533-position model. The record is from RNAcentral. Lineage: Bacteria; Bacillati; Bacillota; Bacilli; Caryophanales; Bacillaceae.
UAUAAUGCAGUCGAGCGGACAGAAGGGAGCUUGCUCCCGGAUGUUAGCGGCGGACGGGUGAGUAACACGUGGGUAACCUGCCUGUAAGACUGGGAUAACUCCGGGAAACCGGAGCUAAUACCGGAUAGUUCCUUGAACCGCAUGGUUCAAGGAUGAAAGACGGUUUCGGCUGUCACUUACAGAUGGACCCGCGGCGCAUUAGCUAGUUGGUGAGGUAACGGCUCACCAAGGCGACGAUGCGUAGCCGACCUGAGAGGGUGAUCGGCCACACUGGGACUGAGACACGGCCCAGACUCCUACGGGAGGCAGCAGUAGGGAAUCUUCCGCAAUGGACGAAAGUCUGACGGAGCAACGCCGCGUGAGUGAUGAAGGUUUUCGGAUCGUAAAGCUCUGUUGUUAGGGAAGAACAAGUGCAAGAGUAACUGCUUGCACCUUGACGGUACCUAACCAGAAAGCCACGGCUAACUACGUGCCAGCAGCCGCGGUAAUACGUAGGUGGCAAGCGUUGUCCGGAAUUAUUGGGCGUAAAGGGCUCGCAGGCGGUUUCUUAAGUCUGAUGUGAAAGCCCCCGGCUCAACCGGGGAGGGUCAUUGGAAACUGGGAAACUUGAGUGCAGAAGAGGAGAGUGGAAUUCCACGUGUAGCGGUGAAAUGCGUAGAGAUGUGGAGGAACACCAGUGGCGAAGGCGACUCUCUGGUCUGUAACUGACGCUGAGGAGCGAAAGCGUGGGGAGCGAACAGGAUUAGAUA